AGAAGCAAGGUGCUAUAUCUCUGCAACUGGCAAGAAUCAACUCGGGAAUAGGGAUUUUCUCCACUAACAGUAUAUGCCACUCCGAACUCAAAGCUGGCUUUACUUGGGUUCAAACGGACUCUCUUUGUUUUAAGUCUAUGCUUGCUCCAUCUCAUUCUAACUAUCCUGUCUCUCGUCUGUUACUACUUACUUUUCUACUUACAGCUGUGUGUUUCAUUACCUUAAGUGCCAUACCGUGACUUUGCAUUCCAUACCUGAUAUGCGCUAUUGCGGGGGUCAAAACUAGAGUCUGAUACUUUCUUAUUAAAGGUGAAUUCUCACUUUGGAGUUGGUUUCCUGUUAUCACUGGCCAAAUUCUUAUACUCAUGAUUGGAUUUCUUCUAUUUACCGCUAUGAGUCUAUUACUGCUGGCGCUAUCACACCUUGAGUCCGAUACUAAUGAGCCCAAGCCCACUUAUCUUACUUGACAACUAAUCCACGAACUCCGACAACUGUACUAUUCUUUCCUCGCAUGGUGUGCGAUCAUUCCUUUACUACUUUGUUUAGUUCUUACUUAAAUAUAGCUUGAUUCCUCCGAUCACCAGUUCCAUUAUGGUAGUUAUGAGUUGGAUUCCAGAUAGAGGUUCCCGCCCAUUAAGUAAGUAUUGUUGGCAUUAGUUUGAUUCUUUAUUAGGUGUUAGAGGCACUAGUCUCAUUCUUUCCAGUAGUAGCUCCUUGUCUACUUGUCUGUUAGCACUGGUUCCAAUCUUUCUUUCAAGUGAUCUUAUUAUAACUACAUAACUACUGAGUUGGAGGAAACAUUCGUACAUAAUAACUGGUUAUAACAAUUCCAAAGUCAUUACAAUUCCUGUUUUUGGCUCCUGUUAUGAGCAAGUCCUGUGUUUGUGAGCUCAAUUAAUAUAUGUUAAUGGGGCUAUAAACAAGUCCUGUGUUCUGGGCGGUAGGAGCCUGUGUUAAACGGUAGCGAGUGAAACGGCUUUGUACUACUAUUAUAAGAGAAUAAAUAAGUGAGAAAUCCACUACUGGGUGAAUUCCGUAUUUAGGGCAGUAGCGGGAGACUCUAAACAAGGUUAUUGGGAAUGAGAUAAAGAGAAAGUCAAGUCGUAUUUGAUGUUCAGAGUUAUAGGCUAAACCUUUCAAUAAAGAAAUACUCUUAAGGAUGACAGACUAGACGCAAGGACCUUGGAGUCAGGAAAGAGAGAAUAGAACGGACGCUUAGUUUCGCUGCCCAGCACUACCUUUUAUAGAAUGGAAUUAACAACUAGUGCUUAGCUAUUAACUAAAAGAAAUCUCACUCAUAAUAGUAAGUAAAGCACAGGUAUUAAACUCAACUAGAAUAAGAAGAAGUAAACUCAUCAAAGGAAUAGAACCAAACUCGGGGUAACAAAACGGAUAUCUCACACGGGCCCUAACGACUGUAACUAAUAAGUUGCAGAGUCGAGACUCCCGCACAGAGACUAGAAUGCGUCUACUUACUGACAAGAUUGAAACAAGAAACAGGCAAUUGAGCUACGGAUAAAAAACACUCAACUAGUAACUCCGAGGGCUUUAAGCACUAUCGUAAAGAAGGGCUAACAGGACUUCCUAUACAGCUAUAGGGAGCGAACUACUACUCCAAUGGGCUAAACUACCCUACCGCUACUCACUUUCCUUUCAAACUUAUACUAAUACAGAUAGGCAGGGGAGCUCAAAAGCACUACUAACUAUAAGAAAGAAACGACAACUUAGAAAUAAAUAGCAAUAAGACCUCUAAGCUCAUACACUCGUUCUCCUAGACUAGACGUACCAUUCGGAUUACGUGCUAGACAGAUUAGGGAUUCACGAACAUGGGUAAUAGCACACAUAGAAGGCUUGGAACCGCAUUCACAUAGAGAGAAAAAGACUUAUUACAUAACGGAAUUACUAAACAGAAUGCAAAGAAUCAAAAGGCUUUCAGCACCUUACUUAUACACUUACACUUAUACACUUAUACACUUCUACUAUCAGAUUUCUAACAAUUGCUCACGUGAAAGCCUUUUCUUUUCGGUGUCAAGUCAAAGAAAAGAGUCAAAACUAUAGCAAUGUUGGGGCCAAUCGUUCUAUUCUUUAUCUUGCUUGAUUUCAGCCUUCGAGUAAGGAAUUGGAUUUAUUUAUCCUCCUUUUUAUUGCUAACCUCGGCUUGGCCGACUUUUCCCUUCCAGUAGUUGGGAUACAUUAAUUUCAGGGCGAAAAGCUUACCCAACCUUCUACCUACCCUUUUGGAAAAGGCAACACUUGCUUAUGCCCCACGUUUUUCUUAUCGUUUUUGGAGAGGGAAACAGUCAAAUUGUGGGAUAGACUCCUGUGGAGGGUGAGGAAUAAGCUUUCCAAAGUAUAUUUCGAAUCCAAGAGCUCAACACCCGCUUGCUUUGUUCAAGAGCUUCACCUGCAUUUUAGGAUUCUUUCUCUUUCUUUUGGCUUCUCUCUUAGUUUUCUUAUUGGAAGUUGGAGUUCCAUUGUUUAGCUCUGCCCCAAGACUUUCCAGUUUCCUUUCCUUUUCUAGUUUCCUUUCCUAUAGUACCCUUGUGGUAGGGUUACUUUCUUUUGAAUUUCAUAAGAUAAGCGCGCAUCCCAUUUUUAGCAUGAGUUUGUGCCAGCAGUGAAGUAAGGUUUCAACGAGCAGUCAGUAAGGCAGGGAGGUUAUUGACUCUAUUGUAUCAUACAUAUGCGAACAAGCAGUGAGUCAGAGAGCUUAGGUUCUUCUUGACUAUAGAGGUUAGAUAGAUUCCAUUCAAUAAGCAAUGGAGUAAGGAGUUCGGUUGGGUAUACCUAAUCAAAGAAUAAUAAUAAAGACUUCAAGUACAGAAUCAUUAAAGUACGGAGACGGCCAAGGAAAACUGGAAUUUCAUCUUUCUCUUGCGCAUCCUCAUAUAAGCAUAGGAACUCAGCAGUCAGCAAAUCAUCAAUUGAAUCUCUCUCUUGCACCGCACCUAUACUAUAUGAUUGGAUUUUGCCAACCUCGACUUUCCCGUUAGCUGAAAACAACGUCUUGCUGUCCUCCCGAACUCGACGUCGACUACGAUUAAAGGCUUUAACACCAUCUUUCGAUUGCUUUCCUUGAUACUUCACUGCAUCUUCCUUCGUUAACACUUUCCUGGUUGACGUUAGCGUCCUUGCUUUAAGACUUCAUUUCACGCCCCUGGUUGUUAUCGACCUUUCCUUUCUAAGACAGCUAGUAUAGAAAUGUGAUCUUAGUUAACUAACCUUAUUAUUAUUUUGUAUCGCAUUUACUUAACUGUCGGCGAGGGCGAGUACUCUGGGUGGCGAAGCAGAGAAUAAAGGUAAAGGUAAGCAAGCAGUGUUGCAUACUUCCUUAAUAACCAAAGAUGAACUAUAGAUUGAAUUUAGGAAAGCAAAGCUGUAGUUGCCCACUUUCAUUCACUCUCUGGGUGAGCUACUACAAUUAUCAGUUGACUUGCUAACCCAACUAACAAACCCAUCUUGAGAAAGCCAAUCCUAUACUGAAAGAAUCAAGUCGUUUACUUUUAACGAGCCCUUGAGUUGAGAAGGUCGAUGUAAUUGAUGAGAUGAGAACCUGCUCGACAAAAAGGCCCGGCAUAACAUAAUAAUAAUAAUAAGAUUAUGCUUGCUUACUCGCUUGCUCACUUUCUUAUAGUUAGUAGUAGGGUGUCCUUUCGAUUUGAACUGACUUACAGGGUGGAUUUUACCACUAGGCUACUCUAGUUGAACUGGAUUUCGCUACUUCACUAUAUAUCUAUAUAUAUCUAUAUCCGCUUAUUAGACUCGCGAGCAAACGCCUGAAACACUCUUGUUUGACUCUCCUUUGGUCAAGAAGGGGCUGGGUAGGGCUAUAGGUCUUUUCCUUCCCCUGAGGACUGACUCCCACUCAUCCUACUUUUUCCUAUGUACUGCUAUCACUUGUCUGCUCCAUAUCCUGUGCUUCUGCGCUCAACUAUAAAGAUUCCAAUUCAUUCUUUCUUAUUAACUAUAAGGAUUCUAAUUCCAAUUCUUAUCUUCUUAUAGGAUAGGACUUCACUACAUCAGAGGUUAGAUUAGAUGCCCGGGGGCUUCCCUUAUCUUGAUUCUCUUGCUCCUGUACUGUUACUGAUUUAUCUGCUCUAACAGCUGACCCAACUAACUAUAAGGGCCUAGACAAUUUCAUUCAAGGGUUGAUGCAAUCGGUAACUGCUAAAUCCUCUUUUGAAACAGGAGUCAACUGAUACUUACACAUAGCAUCUUUUCUCUCUUAUUGAAUGAAUGGAGUACCUUCUUAUUGAAUUGAGCACCUGGCAUAGAAACAAACAAGUAAGGAAUUCAUUUGAACCAGGAAAACAACUACUAGCCAAGUAGACAAUAAAGAAGAAAUUUGCUAAGAACUCACUAUGACCAAUUCCUAGCAUUUAGUAUAAGAAACUACAGCAAGAUGGUUAUUACCCGCCAAGUAACUCAGCCAAGGAACUACUAGACAAGCAAGUCAUAAUUCCGUUAUAGGAUCUGAGGCAGAAGAGACCUUACGUACUUUAUUCUUUUCUUACCAACACCCGGGCAAGCUAUUACUAACGACCAAGGCCUACCGGUCUGAAACUCUGAUGUAACUAUUGUCACUAAUAAGAUACUCAGAAUAAGGGACCGGUCUUCUACUAAUAAGAAAAAGGGAUCUACUCACUGGUCUUCCACUCUAACCAUUAACAUAAGGGCUGGGCUACUACUUUGACUUGUCAACUUCAGACUAAACUAUACUUUCCACUUGACCUCUAUCCUCUACCGCCAAGCUACUAGGACAGGCAGGGUCUCUUAACUGUAACCAUACUACUCGGACAGGAAGGGUCUAUCAACUGCCUCAUUUGCUUUGUGAAAGAUUCUACCUUGCUUGCCGAAACUUCUUAUAGAGACCUAGACUUGUGAAGUUCAGGAAGGAGUGGAUCCAGUAGAGAUCUAUUAGUAAACAAGCCUAUCCUACCCGACGUCAAGCCAAGCACCUUUCCCAACUUUGCCCCCAAGCCAAUCACCUCUAUUGUCGACAAAGGCAAGAACAGAAAGUGCAGAAUGGAAUUGCCUACCGCAACUAAGGAGUCAGAAGAGAAUUGCCUAGGAACUGUUUAAACCCCGGCCUUCUGUAGAAGAGUCCACUUAUUGUCCUGCCUUCCGCUUCUUAUCCUUAUUACUCCUUUACCUGGAACGGAUUCUGCACUUGUAACUGUUUAUUUUAUUCCCCUUCCAGCGCACAACAAACUCUGAAUUGACUUUACUAGUGAUGAAACUACGAGUACUAGCAUGGAAAUGAUAUCUUCUUUCUUUAUAGGAUGAAACUAGAACUGGCUAUUCUUAUGCUUACUUGAGAACGAACGGAAACUUCUCCUUCUGAUGCUGACUCUAUAACUACUGGAUCUGCUGCUCCGUGUUAUUACAAUUCCAGUUUGAGGGUUUGGAUGCCCAGAAGAUAGUACUGCCUUUGAUGCCCAUAAGAUGAGACUGCCUUUGAUGCCCUAAGUUCAUGAGUUUAGGUUAUUGUAAUGGUCGGUGGGUGUCUAGGUGUUUGGGCUGCAAGCGAUAAGUCUUGUUCCAGAAGUGCUUGUCCUUGUGCGUUCAGUGUCUUUACGAGGUUCUAUGCCAAGUUCCACUCAUAAUUGCAUUUAUUAUAUUCUCAUAUUGAUACUAGCUUUGUUAAGAUUUCACUAGUACAUUAUACUACCUAGGUUUGUUUGUUCAGAUUUCACUAGUCCGGGCUUGCUAUUAGUCUCUUCUCCUUCAACUACAUAUUCUCCUGCGCCAACACCAGGACUUUCCGCUUCAUUGCAAAAGUAACUAAGUAAGAUCUUGAUCCAGGUAUAGAUCUACUAUACUAAGGUAAAGACCACUCACUCUAUUCCCUUUCCUUCUGCCUUCUGUUAGCGCUAGGAAAACACUUCAUUCAUUUCUCACUCCUUCCGGACUCUCCAACUGAUCUCCUACUCAGAAUCAAGUAAGUAUAAUCGACUUGCAACUACUGGUAAGAAAAAGAAGAAUGAGCCAGACAAAGAGGGGUAUAAUAGAUAUAGGCAACCAACCCCCCGACUCUCUACCGCGCAACACAAACGCAACUGUAGUUAUAACAAUUAAGGGAUUCGAAUCAACCUAGCAGUAAAGAGAGUCAAUAAAAGAAUACAGGAUAUAGGUACGGCCCAGCGCCUAAGCAGUACAAUCAGAGAAUGUAAUCAGUGCUUCUCGUACUUUUAUUGCUACUAAGAUAAAGAUAAGAAUAUGACUAUGGGCAAACUCACUCGAAACUAAGGCUUCAAUGCUGUCCACAAAUUCUGGCUUGACUCACCACUCCCUGACAUACCUUUGGCUUUCAUCCUGCUACUACCACCUAUGAUCCUUACUGCUCUCGCCCCUAACUCCGAGUAUGCUUAUACUAACUUGAAGUCCUGUUUGUUAGCGAAAGUUUGACACUACGCUCUCUCCCCUCCCACUACGAUGUUCUCAUUACUAUGUUGUAGUAUGCCUUUCCCGCCUCUGGGUCUGCGUUGAGAGUUUUGUAGUCUGCUAAUGUCCCCACUUUUUCUUUAUUAUACGACUAGAUGUGCCCCUCCUCUAGUAUUCUGAGUCCAGUUCGCUACCUAUGCUAUUGUCUAGGCUAGGCUACCCGUGCUAUUGAUACAAUAUAUGUGCCCAUUUAUUGAUACUAAUAACUAUCAGAUUGAACACUGCCUAGCAAUACUGAACUUCCAACUUGGAAUUCGCUAGUACUUAGAAGACCCGCCCUACAAACCCAGACUCGAACUAAAGCCCUCCAAUCUUUAUUCGAACAGGCACUCCCGAUCUCAAAACUCCUUAGCGCUUGUUUGAGGUCUGCUUCUCUAUACUCUCAAAUUGGAAUCACCUCCCCACACAGAAAGAAUAGAACUGCCGCCUCUCGUGCCUUAACUCACAGCUGGGAACCACCCCCUACUAAUACAGAAUAUCAAAACACUGCCAACAAAACCAGACUUAUUCUGAUAACCCCUACUGCCUUCAAUACCUUGUUGAGUAUUCUCCUCCAUUGGAUUCAAGUUAUCAAGAACUGAUCUAACAGCUGAUUCAGUUGGGUCUGGCAGCUGAUUCAGUUGGGUCUGGACCUGUCCUGUAUUCAUAAUUUAUGGAAUCUUUAUUACCCUAAGAGUAUAUAAAUUAGAGUCAUCUUUAUUACCUUUCUAUAUACUCCACGAUACGAGCUUCUUCCCCUGAACCAUACUUUUACAAGCCAAGCACUGAACAAGCGUUAGAUGGGCAUGAGAAAAGAAAAGAUUAGGCUUCGGCGUAUGAUCCCGGUCUUUCAACUCAUUAACUUUCUUAAUCGCCAACGUAAUAUAAGUUAGCACCGAACACCUUUCCUUUCGAACAUCAUUUCCUGGCACAGCUUAGUAUUCUGCUUCCUCACCCUUACCCUUACAUCGAUCCUUACUCGUCACUUAAAUAAUCUACUUUACUUGUUUAAUGUCUUGAUAUCUUAAUUCAAGUGCAGAGGUGAAACUUCUUAGAUCAAAUAAAUAGGGGUUAACUACUAGGUUAAGGCAAUAGGAAGCUCGGCGGGAAAUCUUUCUAGGGCUUCAGUUGCAAGCGGAGCUCUAGCUUUGUAGGAGAGUGAGAGUCAGUUUGUGUGCAAGUUCCGUAUUUAAGUGCUGGUGAUGGGAAUGAAUCAUGAAUAGAAGUAUCAGUUCUUUGGGUAGGUCUCCAGUUCCAGUUAAGUAUAUAGUAGCAAGUACAGUUUCGGGAGCUUCCGCGCUAAAGAGAUAGUCCAAUUUCCAUGAAUGAGUUGUACUAACAGCAAGAGAUGGAUCAAAUUAAUGAUUAGUUUACUGCUCCACAGCUACUAGGUCGUUAAUGUGAUACGGCGCUCGAAAGAAAGCAAUAAAAGGUUUACUUGGCGCUCGAUAGCUUCCCGGUUGACUUUACUCGCUCAAGAAGGAUUCCUGGGGCCCGCUUGCUUCUUUUGAGAAACUUUCCACAGCCUCAGAUCCAGAUACAGCAUAUAGUUUCUUUACCUACUCCCGUAUACGUAUACAGCAUAACUCUUUUCUUGUAUCGUAUUCUUGAAGUUUUUUCUAUUCCCGUAGCUCCUAUAACUGAACUUCCUACAUCUAUCUUUGAAAGUUCCUACUAAGGAUAUACUUCUUCUGCUUGCUUUUGCGCUUUACUCUAAAUCAGGUGUGAAAGCUCUCUUUAUCUAAGUUGAACCUAUGGGAAACAACUCGAAUGAAUCCAUCAUUUCAGACCCGACCGACCUCUCUUAAGGAAGACAAAGGAUAUCUAUCAAUUUCAUAGUAAUAAGACCAGAUAGUAAUAAAUGAACUAUCCGCAUCAAUCCGAAAGAGAGAAAUGAAGAGGAACGAAAACAUAGGGCAAGACUCUCCGUUAUAGGGAAGAUGGAAUAGUUUGAAGCCCAAGAGCCGUUAUAGGGAAGAUGGAAUAGUUUGAAGCCCAAGAGUUCAAUCGUAUUUGGACUGGACUUCUGACAAGCUAAAAAAGCACCUUUUCGACAACUAAUAAAUCAAGCGAAAAAAGCUCCUUCGGCUUUCUAGAACGAUACUGCUUUUAUACCCGAGUACUGGAAUCAUGAACCGCAAGUAAAACGGGGACGGGAGGAAGGAAAGACCCGCUCUCUAUUGGUUUGACAGGGCUUUCUCGGUCAGUUAACUGGCAUAUAAAGUAAUAUAUAGGGGAGCUUACUUUAGGUGUAAUAUAGGGGAGCUGACUUUAGCCUUCGCCUGCACUUCUUUGGAUUCCCCAUCUUUUCUUUUCUCUUAAUUAUCAAUCAAUCCCCAUCCUUUAUCUCUGCUAAAAGGUUGACUUUCCUUAGCGGUUACAAGGGCGCGCCUCUGUAUAAGUAAGUAGUAAGAAGCCCUUCCCUAUGUUUUAUCUUGCUGGAUCCGCAUCUUGAUCUCUUCUUUCUUAAAAGGUUGAAAGCGUGGCAAAGUAAGCUUAGCCAUCCGUUCCAGAGUGCUAUUCUGUCUUCCCCAAUAGGUGCUUUCUGGAACAAGAUGAUUCAUAAAGUUAUUAGAGAGACCUCCGCCAGAACUGCACGUGCAAGUCCCAAUAAACGGGGUUUUGGAAACUUGACCAUCUAUUCAAUUACAGACGAAACCCCUAUAAGUCACGUACACCUUUUGAUCCCCCGCCCGGGUACUCGUCAGGUCUUGUGGGUACCCAUAGUCCCCUUUCCUUUAUCUAUCGCUCUAUUCUCCUAAUGAGUUUCCGUUUCUAGUUUACAGUUCAAUUGACUCUUAGCACUAUAAUCAAUGGUCAGCGAAUUCUAUGUUUUCCUCUAGCUCGAAUCUCAUGCCCACUACAAGGUGAAGUUGAAAGGGAAGCGUAGCAAGCUGCAAUUAGGUAAAGAAAUGAUUGGUAACGAUUCCACAUCUCUAUACGAUCUAGGUGUUGACGAAAGUGCAUCUGGAACUAAAGUCAGUCAAAGUAUAGGGGUUCCCCAACAGCAUCAAUGAGUUCUUAAAGUCAUGAGUAAGCUGCCCUUAAGUUAAUGGCGAGAGUAAGAUGUGAGUCAGCGAGUUUUUACCUUACAGCUAUAGAUUCAAUUAAUUAUGAGUUUGACUUUGACUUGGUGCACAAGAAAGAAAGAAAGAUCACUCCAAAAACAGGUGCUCGCAAGUAUGGUUUGCGCCUGCAUCUAAUCGUCUUUGAAUUGAAUAUAUCUCUGACUCUGAUUACCGAGAUCUAUAGACAAGACAAGAUUACCUUCUUGACCCGAACUCAAUUACAAGGGACAGACCUUUCUUUACUAACUUGAUUAUUUACUGACCUAAGCCAAAGGAUAAGUAAGCUUAGGGCACCUGCUCCAUACGGGAACUCCAUUCAAUAUUCUAACCAGUUGUUACCGCCAAGCUUAGGGAUGAGCAACUACGUAGCGAAUGAAAAGAUCAAGACAAAGGCAAGCACUGAUUCAAGGUCUACUUUCCUUCCCGCAACACAAGCACCCGAUACUCUCCAGAACCGUUGGCUGCUGACUUUCCUAUGAUAUGAUUUGAUUGUUGAGUAUGCUGUUGGGUUACCUUCCAGUUGAGUUUGAAAUGCUUUUCUUCCAUUCUACAAGCGAGUGGAGUUCGCCCUAUAGCAUUAGUGAGCGGAACUCGGAACUCCACAACUUGUUCUUUCGCCUAAGCUUGUUUCUUGCUCUGUUACUUGAACUCGCUAGCACACCCCGAGGUGCCUCAAUCAUUUCCAUUCUUUUGCCGACCUCGACUCUAAUCGCACUGCUCCUACGUCUACUGAUUCUUUUUCAGGUUCCGUUGCAAGUGAAGAAACAAAAACGUGACUUGGAGUUAUCUUUAAUUGAAGUGAAGUGGAAUCUCUCUCUUGAUAAGUGGAAUCUCUCCCUUUCUUCAAGAUACAACACUCGCACCUUACAUCAUUCUGUCCUCUCCCAUAGACAAGGAAAGGAGCAACAGCAGAACCCUCACUCACUGAUAAAGCGAACGGAACUUUCAUGCUUGGACCACACCUCGCUCGUAAGAUAUGAUUCCCUGACCCCAACUCGACUAUCUUCUUAUUCUUCGAGACGAACAGCUUACUCCCUUGAUAAAGCAUCUAAUCUGGAAACAGCUUCUUCGGGAGUCGACUUCCACAACUCCUGUUUUCGGGAACUCCACGGCUAUAAUAUUACCAAGAUCUAUAUUAUACUCUAUGAGCUUCUUUCGCUUUAGACUCCUCCUUUCCUAUAGCCUUAACUCGCACUGAAAGAGACUCUAAGACAAUACUCGCACACAAUUGCAACUUGGACACUGAAUCACUUACCGCUGAUAUUUAGAUAAAGGUUAUUUACUGAGGUGAAGGCAUCUAUCUGGUCUGGCGUGGCGGGAAGGCAAUAGUCCGCUCUACUUCCUGAAACUAAGGUGCUGAAAGCCUUAGAUCGUCCCAUUUUGGGAGGUAAGAAAGAUUCAAAUGAAAUCGAUAGGCUUAUACCUCCUAACCUCUGUUAGAGUCCAUUUAUCCUGUUUACGAGGCUUUGCUUUCAGUCAGAGAUAAGAUAGCUAGUUACAGAUGAUAAGGAAAGAGCAUUGGGCUAGUUUCAGAUGAUAAGGAAAGGGGAUAGGUUGAGUUUCAGGAUUAAGCUAAUUUGGAAUAGUGGAAAUAGAGGUUGUAUUAAGCCAUUGUGAUUCGUGCCUAACUGACUUUUGAAAGCAGACAGAUGUCUAUUCAUUCAAAAGAAAUACUCGCAAUCCUCGAUCAAAGAGCGCUUUGGUGAUUCAAUUGCUAGUGGAGUUGUAGUUGACUCUUUAUUCCAUUCUACCAGAAUCUGCCCUAUUUCCCAGAGCCUUAUUCUAGCGUAAGAACGGAUUCUUCAUGACAUUUUAUUCUCGAACAAAGAGGAGCGCAUUCUGUACGACUGCUUUUUACUGCAAGAGCGGUAACAGAUGAUCUAGCAAGAGUGGUCACUGAUUCAAUUGCUAAGAGGGCAUUCUCUCCACCAGCUCAUUCCCUUCUCCCUUGAUCGGAUUCACUGUGCGUGGGAUAUCUUCCGACUAUUGAUCCUUCCUUUGCCUUUAUUCCCGAACUCUUAGAUCUAAAUGCAUAUUAUAUUACCUUCUUUUGCUUUGCUCUAAGAGCGCUUCCUUUUGAAGUAUAUAUUCUCUCUCUAUCACUAGCAGCUUCACUUAUUUCAAGGAGUCUAUACCAAUAGUGCCACGGUCCUCUCUCUGCUGUAAAUCCAAUAGUGACGAUAUCCCCGAUGUUCUCGAAUGCGCCCUUCCUUCUCUUUGCUUUUUAUUAGAAUGCCCUCUCUCUCUCUUGCUGCUUGAGAAGGAGCUAAUAACGGACACUAUUCAAUGUCUCCAGUAAACCAAUGCAUUUCUUUAGCAUCUCGUGAGUUGCAGUUAGAUGCGUCCUUCCCUGUCUUUAGCAUGAAGAGAAUCUUGCCAUCUUGGCGAUGAGAACGAAUAGGAUCAGACGAAUACUAACCCAGCAGUGGAAUAAUAGGGUCUUUGCGCGCUCUUAGCAAGUGAAUCAUAAGGAUGUUCGGGAUAAUUGAGUCAGAUGUCCCGGCAUCCCAUUGAAGACGAUUACUUCUAUUGGCUUCGAGCAAGGAGAAAGAGUGGAAAGAAUAGGUAGGACAAGUUGCCCUAGUUACUUCUUGACCAUUAAAGAUUAGCAUAUGGGCAAUUGACUUUAAAAGAGCCAUCCCUAUGCCAUAGUAUAUAAAGGUGAAUAUGUCCCGAAUGCAAUAAAUAGAAAAGAUGAAAAGAAAAGGGGCAUCUCUUAAGCAUCCUAGCAAGUAGCUUACCUUCUCGCCCUGUAACUAGUAUCGGCAAGUGCAAUUUUCUAUUCAAAGAAUAAUCUCAUGCCCUUUCCCGUGAUGAUGCUUUGUUAACUCUCCUUACUAGAGGUCUGCUUGUAAGAAAACCCUGUAUCCAAUUGGUCACAUGAAGGGUAGUACCCGAAUCCGUCCACGUGGCGGCGUAGAUAAAGAAUAAGAAAGGCACUUUUCAGGCACCAGGGCAUAGUGAUUACAUUCCUUCACACCAGAAAAAGCGAAGCAAAUGUUGUAUCACAUGACGGCGAAAUCACUCACGUGCAGUUCGUUCUCAGUAGCCUACGUACUUUCUCCACCAAGGAAUGAAUCCAUGUUAAGAACAAAGCCCAGCUCACUAUAAGAUAAGUCCUAUAAGCAAUUCUCACUAUAAGUCCUAUAAGCAAUUAGUCAAAAGAGGGCAGUUGAUCCAAUGCAAUCUCAUUCACUAGAUGUAAACCUCCGAAAAUGCGAAAGUAGCCCUCAUUCCCUCUCUCCUUUCUCACCAGGGGGCCUCAUCUUAUUUUCUUUGAAUGGAUAGCAUGUACAGGGAAAUAAUCAAGUAGAUCACGGUACCUAUUGGUAAGAAAAGUCAGUCAAUAAUCUAGUAUUCUAACAAAGAGGGAAAAGAACUCAGAAUCUUCCUAUAUUCCUGCAUAUCGACUCUAUUCUUCAAGAAAAAGCAAACACAACAUAGUAAUUAGAUGCUUUACAUAACUUUCCUAUACUGAACUACCGUAGGUGCCUGGCCUCGAUGACAAUGAAAUGAGAACUAGCUCAAGGCACCGGCAAUGAAAUUAGGACUUGCUUAUCGUCGCAACAAGAAUCUGCUUAGCAACUUGAAAUCUGUCUUCGCUCAUAUCUGCCCUACUUAGUGUGACCAAUAUGUAUCUCCUAAGAUUGGAGCCCACCCCUCACUUUGUGGAUUUUCAUGUUUCUAUUUGGAAUCCUUUGUUGAAGUUGGAAUUGACUUUUGGCUUUUGGGCUAAGAUACACAAAAAGGUCUUUAAAGAAGCGAAAAGAUGACUCCUAAAGGAUAGCUCCUUGAUUAUUGGGUUCCAUGCGCCUCCACGAAGGGGCCCCCAGGCUUUCAUAUGCUUGUACUUGUCAAUUGAGAGUGUAAAGACACGGUGGAGCAUCCCCGCCAUGGAGAAGGUAGCUCCCAACUGGAUAGGUCACUUGUCGAGUCGGUGUGAAAGGGCAUCAUCAGAAUGCUUUCUCGGGCUGCCCAGCCCCUAUACUAGUUUCUUACAAGAUUGAGGGAGAGCUAACCCGCCAACACACACUACAAGCCUGACUUGGAAAGAAGCCAAGCCUUCAGAAGCGGGGAAGUAGAAAGUGAGUGGAAUGGUAGCUUUACCUCGAUACCAAAGUCCAUCAGUAUCCGAGUGCGAGUGCUGUGUUGGGGUGUUCAAGUAGAGUUCUCUGCUUUACUGAAUAGUGCUUGGCGAAAGGGAAACUUCUUGUCUUGCUGUAGCUCGCUUAGAGUAUCUUUAUGUUCGAGGAUUGCCUUUCCCCGUAGAGCUCCGUUCUUGGUGAUUGUGUGGCGGUUCCAUCUUUAGGAGAGUGAGAGUCAGUUUGUGUGCGAGUAUAGGUUUUCUGUGUUGGUGAUGAGAAUACAUCAGCAGUGGAAAUGUCAGCAGUAGAGAUUCCAAUUCCAUGAUGACUUUAGAGUUUCGAAACCAGUCCGUACUUAUUGAUUUGACUGUUUGACUUGACAAGAAGGGAAUAUAUUAUCGUAAAGAAGGGAUCGGUACAGUAAUUAUAGAUAUGAAGAGGUGUUGUAUCAAGAUAUGAAGAGGUGUUGUAUCAAGGAAGAGUAGAAAGGUCAGCGGGAAAGAAUUCCAGAAAGAAAGGAUAGGUCGAAAAACGGUAUGAUGCAGUGUAUUUUCUUGCGCGUACAAGAGAUAGCAGAGAUAUAUUAAAUGAUUACUGGAGUAUGUAUGGUAACCCUAUCUUCCGUCACUGGUGGACUGUAGCACAGAAAGGCCGAAAGAAGCACCUUUCUUAGCGCGCUUUUCAAGCGCUUAGCUUCAGCUAGCAGAGGGGCGUCCAACAAGUCAAUUCCGUUGGAAGCUUUUUCCAGAAAUGCAAAGUCAUGCAAGAAGGCCCCAUCUUACAAAUGAGAAGUGACGGGCUCCUUUCGAGAUAGGGAGCGAUUGUGGUAGUCGAACAUCUCUCCUCUUCUCUUAGCGUGCAAAGUGAGCUUGCAUGCCUCCUUAGGCGCAUCCAUCUUUCAGAGUUUGUUUCACGCUGGCCUAAUUAAGUCAAUCUUUUUGUAAGCCUAUAUAAGCAUCGGUUUAGUAAAUAAGCAAUUCUUUAGUGGCGGCACCGGAAAGUACUUAGCCAGGGGGAGGUUGGUGAAAAAUGAUGUACGCGGCGUUCAGAACCAGCCUUGAAGUGAAUGAAUUAGAAAGAACGAAGAAGUCAGGAAAUAAGGGAAGAACUUGAAAAUAACUCAAAAGAAGGGCUUGCUUUUGGAGCUGCUUGAGAAGGAGCUGUGGGACUGAAGGUAGUGCUAAUGCUAGCAGUUGCAAUAGGGUCAGUGAAAACCACUUUUUGAUAGAAGUAAGCAGGUGCUCCCAAAAUAGAAGUAAGUGCGCGCAAAGCAUGGCGGUUCUCAUUGGGAUGAUCGUUAUCGCUGUAGCUUUUACUAAUGGUGUAACAUCUAAGGAAUCAGUACAUAGAAGAGUCGAGAUUAGUGGAUAGAACAGUCUCAGGAAGAGGUCGAGAUAAGUGGAUAGAACAGUCUCAGUGGAACUACAACAAGUAACUGUCUUUCAGUUCCCGAUCCCAGAGUUCAGGUAUUCUCAUUAAUCUACCGAAUUACGGGGUCAGGUCAGCCCAUUAACCAUGGGAAAGAGAGGCUAUCACGGCCUAACCAAUAGAAUGGAUACAUUAUAGCUCCCUUUACACCAUACGGCCUUCCCUUGACUCUAGAGGGCCCUUAUUGCUAAACCUUCGGUUCUUCACCCCUAUUCCUUACUUCUACUUAAGUCGAAAAGGGAUUAGCUAGCCGCCUUACUUAGAUCUAUGAUACCUCGUUUCCAAGUUCUUCCUAAAGAGCAAUCGGUUCCUAGUGCAAACUUCAAUCUUGGAGCAAGGGUUAGUAGGCUAGGAUCGCGCAAGGUUAGGAAGGGCGGGAAGUAAUAGAGCCAGAGCUUUGGAAGAAACAACGUAAUGAUUCCUAUGAUAAUCAAUAAGUAAAGCAAUGAUCCGAACUAAACGGUAAGAGGUGCUAUUGCAGUGACGAGUUACCUUCGGGGUCUUUCCGUGAUAGGGCAAGGCAAUACAAGGGCCAAGCUACUUGGUUAGUCGUUACUUGCCUAUACGCUUGGCCAGAGUUUGGGUACCUGAAAUCAAGGAUAAGGUUUCGUUCCUUUAUUCAAUCAAGGAUAAGGUUUCGUUCCUUUAUUCUUGGAAGCCCAGCCCAUGUCUUACCUGAGGAUUGGCAUAUCAUAUGGGCAUGUCUCUUACCUGAGGGUUGGCAUAUCAUAUGGGGUGGGCAGUACUCCCUGUUUCCAAUUCCGGCAACGUUCUUCUUUCUUGCUUGACUCGGUAGUCAACGUUCUUCUUUCUUGCUUGACUUGACUUCCCGUGCCUUUGUCCAGUCCUAUAUCAUCCUAUCAGUAUAUAGCCGAUUGGUGGAUUACUUGAUUCGUACCAUUUUGAAGUCCAGAAGACUGACGCGCAACACUCACACCCAAAUUAGGAACAGUAAUAACUUCCUUGAACUGAGUCAGAGGAAAGAAUACUGUAUGCUUGAAGGUAAAGGAAAGGGCAGUGAAGAAUGAGUUGGCUCUUGAGACUAGAGAAAGGCAUGCAAGCAGGAUGCACCAAUUCCAAAUAUGCACCACUCAGUCUUUGCCCCGUCAGGAAAUGAGUACUCCUCUAAUGGUCCCUAUUGCCCGGAUCAGCCUUGGGUUCCGUGAAAGAAUGGAUUUGAUAACCUUAUCUAUAGCAAGAGGGUUCAGUGAAUUUAGUGGUGAGUUAAGAUCAUGCCCACGUAGCGGUUAAGUCUACAUUCGAUCUACCACCUGGCCAAGUAAGAGCACCAUAUUGUAUCAGAAGCUAGCCCGAGUAGAGUGGAAAGAAUAGGAAUUGAGCUAGUGCUGUCCGUUCAGGUUAUCACUACAACUUCCUCUGUUGUCUUUACUGUCUUGAAGUUCAUAAUGGAAUGUUCUAGAAGAAGAGCGGGUAGCUUUGCAAAGAGAACAAUACGAUCUCGUAACCGUAGCGCCAAUCCAAGAUAACAGGAAAGUAUCGGUUUAGGGUGCCGCUGUAACUCCUAGUAGUCGUCAAUGUGCCACUGUAGCUCAAACAAAGUCGUUGAGUGGAGCUCGCCGGGCAGUAGGCAGGUUAAUGCACUUAGUUUCAUUGCGUAACUCCGUUAGCGCACCUAUGGCUUCCAAACUAAUAUUGACACCCCAACCACCGGAAACUAUCAAGUAAUAAUUUCGGAUGGUACACUACUUAUGUCAAUUAGAGUAAUAUAGCUUCUAUUACACUCUGGAAUGAACUUGUUGCUAUUAUGGAAUGUUGCUUGAUGCAGAACUCUAAAGGGCCACACCCCGACCCUAUACUUAAAGGACAAAGACACCGCACCAAUGUUUCUACUUAUUCAGCAAACAAAACAUGACAACCCUUUGCAUUUUGUGAAUUGAAGUAGAGCGGGAGAUAAAUAAGAUCUUAGAGGUCUGGUCUGUCUAUCUUAUUAGAGGCUAGGCAUCAAAGCAUUGCCAGGCCCCUGUACUAGAUUCCUCUUCUCGGCUUAAAGUAAGACACCUGACCUAUACUUCACUUUCAGAAUGAGUUGGGCCUAUAGGAUUCUGAUCUAGCUUAGCUUGGGACUAUUAUUCUCUAAGUACCCCAUUCUAUUCAAUACACUGCUUCUCUGGAAACGGAGAUGAUUCUAUUGAUGAUGCUUAAGAGUCUGAUCUAGCGUCGUAGGAUCCUUAGACUUUGUACUAGGCUUUGUGGUUAAUGCGAUACUUACUAAUAAGAUGAAUGGCGCUAUAGGUUGUCAAACAAAUGAACGAACGGUGCAAGAGGUUGUCAAACAGAUUCACAGCGCAAGAGGAUGUCCUGUGGAGUGCUGGCUUUGACUAUCUUAAUAUGCUAUGCGCACUCUAGGAGUGAGGUGAGUUUCCUAGAUGGAUUAUAGGCGGGCGGGUUAGUUCCAUUCAUUAUUGGAAUGGUUUUUGUUGACUGGAAGAUAAACUGUCUUGACUUAUCGGUUAAUGCUUUACGCGUUGCUGGUGGACUGAUUUCUGGUAAUGUUGUUCUAAUGCAUUUAGCCUCGAAAGAUUGACUUGUUUGCAAACUCCUAGAGCACUGUAGUCUGGAGCUCACGUGAGCACAACUCUAAGAAAGUGGAAUUGGAUUUGUUGCAAGCGGGUCUGAAAGGAGUAUACGCUUGGCCGGGGCUUAUGGAAUUUGACUACUUGUUAGAGCACCUAUAAGAGUCUGGAAGCGAUAGCACAACAGCGCAAGAACUAACUCCAAAGUGAUAGGCAGGUCGGUCCGGUUACAUACUAUAUUAGUUUAGGUUAAUAUGAAACCUUGUGCGUCGGGCAGCUUACUCAUAUUUCAUUCAUAUAGGGUGCAUGCCUCUGUCCUAUAGUUCUAGUUCAAGGGUAGUGUUCGUUCUUAUGCCCAUAAUCUUAUUCAAGUUGUGCUAAGGUUGGAAGCGCUAACAGAGUUCUUUUACUUACGCAUGAGGAGUUACAGCUUUCCCUUACAGCGAGAGAUUCAAUUCCAACAAACAAGGGAACAAGCGAGGUUCGGUUACUGAGUUAUAUUAGUUGAACGCUAUAUUCCUUUCUUUCGCCCUUGUGCCUUAGGGUAAGAUUCCAUUCCGCAUUUGUAGCUUGUUCAGAAGCCAUAAUCAGUAUAAUCAUCUGUGCAAGAGAAAGCACUAGGAUUACACUCGACUCGAACUCUCCUAAUGCAAAAAGUUCACCAUUUGAUUGGGGUCCCGCUUCAGCUCCUUAUCUUAUCGUGGAGUUACUGUUCUUUCAGAUUGAAUCCUUAUAUUCUAGUCGACCGGAGAAGAAGAUCUAGAAGCAGUCUCUUUAUCCUUAUUAAGAUUUCUAUUCUUGCAAUGGAAUCCGGGAAGAAUUGAUUGAGGCACUGGCACCUACCCCUGGAAAGCUGGGUUAAUAAAAUCAAUAAUAAAGUCAGGGUUUUGAACGGUAGCGGGGUGUCGAGGGGAGAGGUUCUGUUCUAGUUUCAUCCUUUAGAAGAUAAGUGUUUACAAUUCCAUAUUCUUUCCUAGCACCAAAGCAUCCUUUCUUUCUUUCCUAGCACCAAAGCAUACUUUCUUUGAAAUCAAAUACGAGUUCCAGAAGCAGACGUCGUGUUAAUGCGAGUUUUGAGUGAAAGUUCAGCGUCAGUGAAAUAGAAUUCUUCACUAAAAUAGGAUCCUGUUUGACGAUUCCCCAUUUUCUUUGUUUAGUACAUAGGACCCGGAAAGAGAUUAGUGCAUUUGGCACUAGAACAGUACGGAUUUGCACUAGAACAGUACGGAUUUGGUUUUAUAGUAUAGGAAAAUAGAUCAUGUCAUACGCCCAAGAUAGAAGCAUACUAGCAAAUAUCAUAUAAAUAGAGAACAAAUAAACAUAUGAUAGAUAUAAGUAAAUAAUACCAGGAUGAAAUGAGAAAGUCAGAGUUGCCAUCAAUCAAGGAAGUUACAUGGGAUAGGAGCCUAAGCAAAGAAGGAGACUAUAACUCAAAUAUAUAGCGAUAAGCCCAAGAACACAAAUACAGAAUGAUAGCCCAGGAAUGGGAAAACGGAAACAAUAAAUAACCCUCUGGGCGAUGAGUUAGAUCCAAUUAUCCCAGUAGUACCCUUAUCCUUCAGAGUUAGAUCCAAUAUUCUAGUAGUCUUAUCCUUCUACUGAUCUAGCUUGAGCCUCCGCCUCACCUGCUCCAUCUUAGAACCCCAAGAAAUACUACUCAAGAUCUUGAAAACUUAUAUCUAUCUUGAAAACGACUUCUUCACUUGUAACUGUUGAUUCUCGAGUCGAUUCAACGACGACACUCCUUCUCCCGUACGUACUAUUCUUCUUGACAUUUACUAUUAUUCUUGACAUCCGGUCCAUCUAUCUAGCAAUGAACUCUUUACCAUUGGAUGAAACUAUUUGAGAAAACUAUAUAUAGCACCGACACCAUUACCUAUAGCACCGAGCUAUCACUCUAAUGAUUAUUUCUCGUAGAAAACAUAUAUCUUGACUCUAACCUGUCAUACCUAUUCUAUUGACUCAAACUGAACAUACCUAGGCGAUUGACUCUGCCUUUCCAUACCUAUUAUACCGGCCCCAACUUUGAUUAUUAUUUCCAAUAGAAAAAACAUAUUGGUACUCCGCAUAGUGAUUGAUGAAAAUGAUGUUGACACCUAUCAGAAAGAUGUUUGCUGAGCACCCGCACCAACUGUUAUCAAGGGAAGAGAACACCAUAUAAGUUUGUUACCCAAAAACGGAAAGAAUCACUAUUGCCUCUUUUCGCCCUAGUUUCCCUAAUCAAAUACUAUCAAAUAGAGUCUAAAUGAACAUAUGAGAAAUGAUGAGGUAUAAGAAUCAUGUGUGAAAUACAAGAAUAGAAGUGAUGUUAGUAAUACUUGGAGUUAGGAGCGAGAGCCUUGUUACCAAUAGUUCUUUUCUUUCUAUUACUGGUGUCAAUUCCGACUAUGUUAUUUAAUUGCUCUUUAUUCUCAGUGCAAUUCCUAUUUAUGAGUUGGCAAAGGCAAAGCAAGGAAUAGAUACGUUAUAAUGAGUUAUUCCGGUUUCUCAUUUGUGUUUCUUGGUUCCAUUCCUGUUAGCAGUGAUUUCUGUUUAAGAGCUAGAAGCACAGGAAAGAGAGGCAGGCUCAUAAGUUGUAAAGUGAGAUCCGAUUGAAUUACUGGUUUUGAGUUCCGGUAUGGAAGUUAGUAUCGGUAGACUUAUGGAUAGGGGAGCGGGAGAUUUCGAGUUAGUAGAAGCAGUUGUUUCAGCCUCGGAAGCUGUAAUGGUAGUCUCGUAUGCUGUAGUUAGAUCCUUAAACAGUAAUGAAAGUAUAACAUAGGCCAGAGUUCAAUUCAUUGACUCACCUGGUUAACUCUAUUAUUCCACGCUUUUCUCCUUUGGCUUACUCCAGUUUGGUUCUGCUUAUUGGGGUGGUUUUAGAGCCUUAAAAGUUGUAGGUCAUAGCCUGUAGUCAGUGCAUUCAAUUCUGUUUUCUUAAUAGCUGAAGUUUGAACCCGAAGUGAAGUAAGCUUCCAGUUCAUGGGCAAGCAUGCAAAGAGCAAAUGCAGACUUAUGGACAAGAAUAUAAGAUUGAGAUUCCAGAGAGGCAGACUCGAAACAAUGGAUGUAAGAGCGAAAGAAGCAAGUAGGAGAUUUCCAACUAGAGAAUAAGAACGCGAGGGACAACUAGAAGACUAGAAACUAGCAAAUAAGGCUUGGAAUACCGGAUUUAGCUCUUUUGCUGUGUUUUAAUUGUUAUCAUCACUAGUUGCAUUGUUAGGGGCGUUGUUGCCUUAUUUCUACUAUCAUUAGGGAGUUAGCCAGCUAGGUAUCCUCACUUUUUAAGACAAGGAAGGUGAACUGCAGAACAAGGGAGGUGAACUGCAGGCUUUAGGGCAUCGGUUUCAUUAUUUCCUUAGUCCAAUUCCCUAUCAUAAGUAGAAAGUCUUAUAAGUAAGGAACAGUGAACUUCUUUCCACACUAGUAGCAGAGUUAUAAUAGUAAUAGAUAGAGUAUUGUUUACACUAGGCUUUCAGCACCUUGUCUUUGUGUUGAUUAUAAUAAGUAGUAGUUCCAUUCCGAUUAUCUGUUAGUGACCGCCUAUUCCGUAUGCACUGGGUCAUAUACCGAUAUUCUUAUCCCCCGGGUUCUAUUACCUAUGAGUUGACUUCUGAAAUGAUGACUUGGAUCUACCUACUCGCACAAUACUAGCUAACCAAUACAUCCCAUACUAAUGUCUUGCUUAUAAGUUUGUAGGGCCUUCCUUUCCUGUCUACAAGCCAAUAAUGAACUCAAUGCCAACCAAACCCUAGAUCCAGUAUGUAUUCCACGGCUCCCAGCCCUUAUCCACUAGCUUCUUUUUGGAGUCUGUCCCUCCCGUAUAUAAGUCCGAAUCACUCCUUGGGUUUUAAUACUCCUGCCUGGUAUCCUUGCUUCCACAGAUCAGUAUACCGAUCCAUUAGCUAAGUCUACCCUCCCUUACUUCGCUGUCCAAGCCCUAUUUCCAGCUCUUCCGCUCUUACUAGUCUGUCCCUCACUCUUGUAUUGCUUAGGCACGUUCUGUAUUACCCAACCUGCGACUAUAGGCCUGUUCCUGACAUUCCAACAAGUAAGGAAUACCAGGUACGCCCGGGAUAAGGAAACUCAGACUAAUAGCUCUCAAUCUCAUAGUAACGCUUAAAGAACGAAAACACAGCUAAAGAACUAAACCUAGCAGUCAAAGAAUAGAAGCAAGCUCAACAAACACACAUAGUCAUUGAACUCACCUCAUAAGUAUAGUAACUACACUAAAGUAGUUGACUAAAACUCCAAGGUAAGAGAAUUAAGGACAUUCAUUGAAUAAUCGAACUCAGUGGCAUAGGAAUAAGAAGCACCUACCCUCCAACACAAGAAUCGAAAUCAUGAGUAGGAAGAAUGCAAGGCAGGAAAGCAAUAAUGGGCUAUCAAAGGGGACGAUCAUAAUUGAACUCAUUAAUAAUAGAAUGGCAUGUCGAAUCAAGGAAGGAAAAAGCUGUUAGAAAGCCAAGUUUAGAAGACCGCAAGGGAAGGUAAGGAGUGAGAAAGAAAGAAAGUAGGCCAGGAGCUCCACUCCAAGUUGUAUAGUAGAGUUCUUGUGCGAGGUAAAGUAGAUAUCGACUCUAGAAUCAGCUGGAUCCGGAUCCGAAUGAGUAGACUAUAGUCUCAAAUAAGAUCAAGAAUAUGGGAAAGGUUUGUAAACAAGAGAAUCCGCAGAAGCUGAAUGACCAGUUGCUGUUUCAUCCCGUGUUUCAUCUCAUAUAGAAGCAUAAGCGAGAUCCGUUCUCAAGUCAGCUCUAGAAUAGACAAGAGAAGCUGUUUCAUCUGUAUUAGUUGU
Molecule: long non-coding RNA, 22312 nt
Filed under: Musa acuminata (dwarf banana)
Lineage: Eukaryota; Viridiplantae; Streptophyta; Magnoliopsida; Zingiberales; Musaceae
Description: long non-coding RNA (MACU_LNC007845)
Source: RNAcentral